Molecule: small nucleolar RNA, 63 nt
Organism: Nothoprocta perdicaria
Lineage: Eukaryota; Metazoa; Chordata; Aves; Tinamiformes; Tinamidae
Source: Ensembl
GCACACGUGAUGUGGACACAACAGUAUGAGGCAACUAUGACACUGUAAACGCUUUCUGAUGUG